CCUACGGGCGGCUGCAGUGGGGAAUAUUGGACAAUGGGGGCAACCCUGAUCCAGCCAUGCCGCGUGUGUGAAGAAGGCCCUCGGGUUGUAAAGCACUUUCAGUGAGGAAGAACGCCUGGUGGUUAAUACCCAUCAGGAAAGACAUCACUCACAGAAGAAGCACCGGCUAACUCCGUGCCAGCAGCCGCGGUAAUACGGAGGGUGCGAGCGUUAAUCGGAAUUACUGGGCGUAAAGCGCGCGUAGGUGGCUUGAUAAGCCGGUUGUGAAAGCCCCGGGCUCAACCUGGGAACGGCAUCCGGAACUGUCAAGCUAGAGUGCAGGAGAGGAAGGUAGAAUUCCCGGUGUAGCGGUGAAAUGCGUAGAGAUCGGGAGGAAUACCAGUGGCGAAGGCGGCCUUCUGGACUGACGCUGACACUGAGGUGCGAAAGCGUGGGUAGCAAACAGGAUUAGAUACCCCAGUAGUC
This 465-nucleotide ribosomal RNA is filed under the name Vreelandella stevensii. RNAcentral describes it as "partial 16S ribosomal RNA". It matches the Rfam family "Bacterial small subunit ribosomal RNA", at positions 338 to 795 of the family's 1533-position model. The record is from RNAcentral. Lineage: Bacteria; Pseudomonadati; Pseudomonadota; Gammaproteobacteria; Oceanospirillales; Halomonadaceae.